CUAGCGGCGGACGGGUGAGUAACGCGUGAGCAACCUGUCCUUCACAGGGGGAUAACACAGCGAAAGUUGUACUAAUGCCGCAUAAGACCACAUUGGGACAUCCCAGAGGGGUCAAAGGAGCAAUCCGGUGAAGGGUGGGCUCGCGUCCGAUUAGAUAGUUGGUGAGGUAACGGCCCACCAAGUCGACGAUCGGUAGCCGACCUGAGAGGGUGAUCGGCCACAUUGGGACUGAGACACGGCCCAAACUCCUACGGGAGGCAGCAGUGGGGAAUAUUGGGCAAUGGGGGAAGCCCCCUGACCCAGCAACGCCGCGUGAGGGAAGAAGGUUUUCGGAUCGUAAACCUCUGUCCUUGGUGAAGAGGAAGAGACGGUAGCCAAGGAGGAAGCCCCGGCUAACUACGUGCCAGCAGCCGC
Molecule: ribosomal RNA, 414 nt
Filed under: uncultured bacterium
Lineage: Bacteria
Description: bacterial SSU rRNA
Rfam family: Bacterial small subunit ribosomal RNA
Source: RNAcentral